AGAGUUUGAUCAUGGCUCAGAUUGAACGCUGGCGGCAGGCCUAACACAUGCAAGUCGAGCGGUAGCACAAGAGAGCUUGCUCUCUGGGUGACGAGCGGCGGACGGGUGAGUAAUGUCUGGGAAACUGCCUGAUGGAGGGGGAUAACUACUGGAAACGGUAGCUAAUACCGCAUAACGUCUUCGGACCAAAGUGGGGGACCUUCGGGCCUCACGCCAUCAGAUGUGCCCAGAUGGGAUUAGCUAGUAGGUGGGGUAAUGGCUCACCUAGGCGACGAUCCCUAGCUAGUCUGAGAGGAUGACCAGCCACACUGGAACUGAGACACGGUCCAGACUCCUACGGGAGGCAGCAGUGGGGAAUAUUGCACAAUGGGCGCAAGCCUGAUGCAGCCAUGCCGCGUGUGUGAAGAAGGCCUUCGGGUUGUAAAGCACUUUCAGCGAGGAGGAAGGGUAGUGUGUUAAUAGCACAUUGCAUUGACGUUACUCGCAGAAGAAGCACCGGCUAACUCCGUGCCAGCAGCCGCGGUAAUACGGAGGGUGCAAGCGUUAAUCGGAAUUACUGGGCGUAAAGCGCACGCAGGCGGUUUGUUAAGUCAGAUGUGAAAUCCCCGCGCUUAACGUGGGAACUGCAUUUGAAACUGGCAAGCUAGAGUCUUGUAGAGGGGGGUAGAAUUCCAGGUGUAGCGGUGAAAUGCGUAGAGAUCUGGAGGAAUACCGGUGGCGAAGGCGGCCCCCUGGACAAAGACUGACGCUCAGGUGCGGAAGCGUGGGGAGCAAACAGGAUUAGAUACCCCGGUAGU
This 797-nucleotide ribosomal RNA is filed under the name uncultured bacterium. Its description in RNAcentral is "bacterial SSU rRNA". It matches the Rfam family "Bacterial small subunit ribosomal RNA", at positions 8 to 794 of the family's 1533-position model. The record is from RNAcentral.